Molecule: ribosomal RNA, 1449 nt
Filed under: uncultured Rikenellaceae bacterium
Lineage: Bacteria; Pseudomonadati; Bacteroidota; Bacteroidia; Bacteroidales; Rikenellaceae
Description: 16S ribosomal RNA
Rfam family: Bacterial small subunit ribosomal RNA
Source: RNAcentral
GAUGAACGCUAGCGGCAGGCCUAACACAUGCAAGUCGAGGGGCAGCACGUAAAGUAACUUGUUACUUUUGGUGGCGACCGGCGCACGGGUGCGUAACGCGUAUAUAACCUGCCUCGAACAGGGGGAUAAUUCGGAGAAAUCUGGUCUAAUACCCCAUAACAUCAGAAUCGGCAUCGAUUUUGGUUGAAAGCUCCGGCGGUUCGAGAUGGAUAUGCGUGACAUUAGCUAGUUGGUACGGUAACGGCGUACCAAGGCAACGAUGUCUAGGGGGACUGAGAGGUUUACCCCCCACACUGGUACUGAGACACGGACCAGACUCCUACGGGAGGCAGCAGUGAGGAAUAUUGGUCAAUGGACGCAAGUCUGAACCAGCCAUGCCGCGUGCAGGAUGACGGCUCUAUGAGUUGUAACUGCUUUUGUAUUAGGGUAAACCCAGGUACGUGUACCUGGCUGAAAGUAUAAUACGAAUAAAGACCGGCUAACUCCGUGCCAGCAGCCGCGGUAAUACGGAGGGUCUAAGCGUUAUCCGGAUUUAUUGGGUUUAAAGGGUGCGUAGGCGGUUUGGUAAGUUAGAGGUGAAAGCCCGGUGCUCAACAUCGGAACUGCCUCUGAUACUGCCGAGCUAGAGAGUAGAUGCUGUGGGCGGAAUGUAUGGUGUAGCGGUGAAAUGCUUAGAGAUCAUACAGAGCACCGAUUGCGAAGGCAGCUCACAAAUCUAUAUCUGACGCUGAGGCACGAAAGCGUGGAGAGCAAACAGGAUUAGAUACCCUGGUAGUCCACGCCGUAAACGAUGAUAACUCGAUGUCGGCGAUAUACAGUCGGUGUCUAAGCGAAAGCGAUAAGUUAUCCACCUGGGGAGUACGUUCGCAAGGAUGAAACUCAAAGGAAUUGACGGGGGCCCGCACAAGCGGAGGAACAUGUGGUUUAAUUCGAUGAUACGCGAGGAACCUUACCCGGGCUUGAAAGUUAGCGACUGACUUGGAAACAGGUCUUCCCUUCGGGGCGCGAAACUAGGUGCUGCAUGGUUGUCGUCAGCUCGUGCCGUGAGGUGUCGGGUUAAGUCCCAUAACGAGCGCAACCCCUACCGUUAGUUGCCAUCAGGUCAAGCUGGGCACUCUGGCGGGACUGCCGGUGUAAGCCGAGAGGAAGGUGGGGAUGACGUCAAAUCAGCACGGCCCUUACGUCCGGGGCGACACACGUGUUACAAUGGUCGGUACAGAGGGCAGCUACCUGGUGACAGGAUGCGAAUCUCGAAAGCCGAUCUCAGUUCGGAUUGGAGGCUGAAACUCGCCUCCAUGAAGUUGGAUUCGCUAGUAAUCGCGCAUCAGCCAUGGCGCGGUGAAUACGUUCCCGGGCCUUGUACACACCGCCCGUCAAGCCAUGGAAGUUGGGGGCGCCUGAAGUUCGUGACCGCAAGGAGCGACCUAGGGCGAAACUGAUAACUAGGGC